GACGAACGCUGGCGGCGUGCUUAACACAUGCAAGUCGAACGGAAAGGCCCUGCUUUUGUGGGUUGCUCGAGUGGCGAACGGGUGAGUAACACGUGAGUAACCUGCCCUUGACUUUGGGAUAACUUCAGGAAACUGGGGCUAAUACCGGAUAGGAGCUCCUGCUGCAUGGUGGGGGUUGGAAAGUUUCGGCGGUUGGGGAUGGAAUCGCGGCUUAUCAGCUUGUUGGUGGGGUAGUGGCUGACCAAGGCUUUGACGGGUAGCCGGCCUGAGAGGGUGACCGGGGACAUGGGGACUGAGAGACGGACCAGACGCCUACGGGAGGCAGAAGUGGGGAAUCUUGCACAAUGGGCGGAAGCCUGAUGCAGCAACGCUGCGUGCGGGAUGACGGCCUUCGGGUGGUAAACCGCUUUCGCAUGUGACGAAGCGUGAGUGACGGUAAUGGGUAAAGAAGCACCGGCUAACUACGUG
This 468-nucleotide ribosomal RNA is filed under the name uncultured bacterium. RNAcentral's name for it is "partial 16S ribosomal RNA". It matches the Rfam family "Bacterial small subunit ribosomal RNA", at positions 28 to 507 of the family's 1533-position model. The record is from RNAcentral.